CCCCUGGAGUUAGAAAAGUGGUUAACUCCAGGGGAGUGGUGUUUCUUGGUAUUGAUCCAAUCGGCACCCCUGCAAAAUUAAAACAUAUCACACUAGACCGGAAAAGAAGGAGGAUGACGUAGUUGGAAGAGAGGCAGCCAUGGUCUGAGACCACAAGGAGAUAGGGGCCAACGAGCCCCACUGGGGCCCAAGGCCCCUAGCCCCCAGCCAAGACUACGGGAGACCCGGUGUAGUGUUAAAACUGGACUGGGUGCCGUCAUCAAAGGCUGGGGGAGUUUCUCCACUAUGAGCAGCAGCAGAAGACACUGAAAGCAGUGGCGGAGCAGCACUGAACAGAGAACUGUGGCUGAGAGCCAAAAGAGAUAGCAAGCAGCAAGAUGGCACAUAGCCAGGCUGGGAGAUGCAGAGAUGUUCCUGCAGGAGGGAGAGCUGGCAACAAAGCAGAGAAAACUCAGCAAAGACUGUUUUGGGGGGAGAAUGACACCAGCAAGUAAUUUUGUGGACCAGCAGACAUCUCCAUCUACAGGAUAGAGACAGCAAAAUGCUGUCAGACAUGAUUUUAUUUAGUCUUCUAAUUUGUGCUUCUUCUGUAACUAAAACCUAUACAUUUUAUCUUCAUUAGGCCAUGAAACUGCUUUUCUGUCAUAUAAGCAAGGAAAAUCACGUUUCAUUUUCAGAGAAUUACUGUAUGCUUUGAGAAUCUGGAACUGAAGGCUAAGAGAGUUUAGAAACUUUAAGAGAGAAAUAAUCAUCAUGAAUUUCAAUGCCUACAAUGUUGCUUUCCUAGUAGCAAAUGUAGUUUAUAUAUGCCAUUAAAGAAGGCCAUAAAUACACCUGCUGGAACUCACUCACACGGGCAAGUAUCACACCAGUGAGUCAGAAAAGGGUCAGCUGAUGACUCAAUCGUAUUUUUUUUCCUUAUUUGAUUGAUUUGAUUUUUCAUCAUCAUAGUAAAAUCACAGUUAAGACACUGUUGAAGAGAGAUGUAUGUGGAGCAUCUGAUGAUGUUCCAAGCCCUGGUAUGGUUUCUCUUAGCACCUAUACAGAUAAGCUGAACAGAGAACUGGUAAUUCAGAGCUUUCUGUAUGCUAGACAAUUCUAGGUGGCUCUUGGACUAAUCAUUACUCAAAAAAGAUGGAAGUCUACUAUACUGCCAAAUUAAGAAUUCAAUUUAAAGCGUCAAAUAUAUAUAUAUGCAUUUCCUUUUCUUAGGUAUCUAGAACCAUGACCACCUCCAAAUCUAGAAGAAUCGAGUAACAAUUUGACAGCAACAAGUAUUUUACAAUAAUCCUGCAUUAGUGUGAAGCAUGAAACUUGCACAGACUAGGAACCUUGACAGAGGGAAAGAUGCUGCCAGAAUUAAGUUUUUUUCUACCACUUUUAUUCAGUCCCCCUGUGAAUGGAUCUCUAAAUCACUAAACAAAUCUCCCACAAUGCUUUUUCUUAUUCAAGACACUGCCUGGUUGUAUUCAGAGGAUGAUGCAGGACUGUUUAAUAAAAGUGAAUUCUUCUCUUAUAAUUUGGAAGGUUAUCUGGAAGCUAAGGAGGAGGAAAACAAAUUUAAGGGAGGUCUAAUGAUUUAAGUAACCACUAGUACCAUAUGGAACUGGAUUUUAGCUUCAUUUCUGUUGCAAAGCAUCUGUGAGUGAAGUGGUGCAUAGUUUAUUUGAAAUAAAUAAUGCUUAUUCUG
This is a long non-coding RNA of Pseudopipra pipra, 1690 nucleotides long. RefSeq lists it as uncharacterized. Lineage: Eukaryota; Metazoa; Chordata; Aves; Passeriformes; Pipridae. The record is from RefSeq and is a predicted model, not a curated record. The transcript has 2 exons.